This is a non-coding RNA of Vicugna pacos (alpaca), 803 nucleotides long. The record is from RefSeq and is a predicted model, not a curated record. Lineage: Eukaryota; Metazoa; Chordata; Mammalia; Artiodactyla; Camelidae.
CACGAGAUGGCACAGAGAAAAGCAGAAAGCUGCUCCAUGACCAUCUGGACGUGAAGAUGUGAAGGCCCUGCCCAGAGUCCAGGAGUCCAGACAGCCUGGGAGACGAGCAGGAGUUGGAACCCGAGUUGGAGAGAGACAGGAGAAGCCUUCCGCAGCCCAGUGUGUCCUUGACCCUGUUCAGGAGGUAAGGACAAACAGGAGGUCUCUGGAGUGCCGUCAGAAGUCUGCCUUCAGUUGUCACUGAGCCCCUCUGAGAAUGGAGCGAUCCACCCGGGAGCUGUGUCUCAACUUCACCGUUGUCCUGAUCACGGUUAUCCUCAUUUGGCUCCUUGUGAGGUCCUAUCAGUACUGAGAUGCCACAGCUCCUGGAAUUGACUGCAACGCUCCAGAGCUGUCUUCUGUGUGCCCUGAGCUCCCACUCCUGUCAUGGGAUGCCUUUUUCGGCACCUCACGGCACUUCUGACCUGCACGCACAGCAUCUGAGGUGCCGCCAGUGUCAGGAUCGAUCCUGUGACCUCUAAAGAUGCUGCUCUCAAGGGCUGCCAAGUGUUUGCCAGGGAGUGUUAGAUUUAUCCCCCAACUCUUACUGCAAAUGUGUUAGACAAGCCACAAGGGUAAAAGUAAACUGGAUUCACGAUGCCAUAGAAUUUUAACAAGCCCCUGAUCUGUCUCACCACACAUCCCUUCAACCCACACUCAGCAAGCAAACUGUAAAUCAACCUGCCAGAAGAGAGAAAUGUUAAAGGAAGUCUUUGUCAGCCCCUCUAGCUAUCAUGUGAAUAAAGUAAGUCAACCACAAAAAA